Long non-coding RNA from Lepidothrix coronata (blue-crowned manakin), 1403 nucleotides. RefSeq lists it as uncharacterized. The transcript has 3 exons. The record is from RefSeq and is a predicted model, not a curated record. Lineage: Eukaryota; Metazoa; Chordata; Aves; Passeriformes; Pipridae.
CAGGGCUGGGACUCCCUCAAACUGUUCCCUCACGGGGCUGGGACCCCUCUCACAGGGCAGGGACCCCCUCACAGAGCUGGGACCCACUCAAACUGUUCCCUCACGGGGCUGGGACCCCUCUCACAGGGCAGGGACCCCCUCACAGAGCUGGGAUCCACUCAAACUGUUCCCUCACGGGGCUGAGACCCCUCUCACAGGGCAGGGACCCCCUCACAGGGCUGAGACCCCUCUCACAGCGCAGCCCCUCAUAGCUGUUCCUUCACAGGGCUGGGACCUCCUCACAGAACUGCCCCUCACAGCUAUUCCCUCACGGCGCAGCCUCUCACGGGGCCGGGAUCCCCUCACAGCGCUGCCCCCUCGGCGCCGCUCCCCGCUGACAGCUGUUCCCUCAGAGCGCUGUCCCUCACAGGUGUCUCCCCACCGCAGGUUCGAAACGCCCGAGGCGGGAGCUAAAACUCCCGACCCGGCCUCUCGUCUCACGUUUUGAUCAGGCUGAGAGGGAAAUGAAGGAGGUUGUUCGGAGCAAAAAGAUCCAUGUGUGCCAGCUGUGAAAAAAAGGCCAACAACAAGGAAUGUGCACAGACAGUGUUGCAUAAGCUACUGUUAUACUGCUCACCAUGAACUUCUAGAUCAUUUUAUGUGGAAAGAAGAAGUUCUGAAAAUAUUCAGCCUAUUAAGGACUCAGUGGCAGAGAACUCUGCUCUUUUCCAAGGAGGGUUUUCACCAUGGCUCCUUGCAUGUUUCCAGCACUUAAUUGGGUAAAUGAACGUUUUUUCAACCAAGCCUGAAGAUCAUCAUCCUUCUCCAACUAAAUUGGAAGAGUUUGGUCACACCAAUGCCUCAGCCUUUGCCAAUGUGUUGAACACGAGGAGCACUUCUAAUUCCUCUCAGUUUGAAACCAAUCAACCCAAGUUGGAAAAGACACAGAGGAUGAUUAAUGGUACAGAGUUUUUUCUCAUGUGCAAAACCCCUCAGCCUGGAAAUGAAUGAUACAGAGAAUGAGAAUAGAAGUCUAACAGAAUAACACUGAGUGACAGAAGCUGGUGAAGUGAACAUGGUUGUUUCUUAAAAAAAAAAAAAAAAAAAACAAAACCAACAAAAACCCAAAAAUUUGCCUGGUUAUACUUUCUAUUUUCAAGCUCACAAUGGUGUAAUUAAAUACAGUAAUAGUCAAAUCCUUGAGGCAACAUUCCUUCUUCCUCCAGCUUUUCAAAUUAUACUCACAGUUCUGAGAGACAAAGAGUGUUAGUGUUCUAGGUUACCGUUAAGUCCAUUGCAUCAAAAUAUUAAAUGGCACAGCAACAAAAAAUACAAAUUUGACCCAGAUCAGAAAAUAGAGAUGGUCAUUAGUAAACAUCAUGUCUUGUCAUUGACAACUGGUGGGACACGGAGGGGUGGAGGAA